UUUAGAAUGUUAAUUGUUUUAGGUGCCUGAGUAGUAUUAGUUAUGUUCUUGAAACUUAAAGAAUUUGGCGGUAUCUCAUUCCGUCCAGAGGAAUCUGUCUCGUUAUCGAUAGUCCACGUUGGACCUUACUUAGUUGCUGUUGGUUUGUAUACCGCCGUWUAUUGAUUAUCUUUUUAGAGUUUAUUUAAUUUUCUAGUUUCUUUAUUUUGAUUUAUUUCAGGUCAAGGUGCAGCUUGUUUCUAAGUGAAUGAUGGAUUACAUUGUUAUUUGUUUAUGGAUUAUUUGGUUUAAAUAUUAAUAUGAAAUUGGAUUUGGUUGUAAUUAUUUGUAGACUGUUAUUGUGAUAAAUGGUUCUGAGAUAUGC
Molecule: ribosomal RNA, 364 nt
Filed under: Cornitermes cumulans
Lineage: Eukaryota; Metazoa; Arthropoda; Insecta; Blattodea; Termitidae
Description: partial 12S ribosomal RNA
Source: RNAcentral